Non-coding RNA from Notechis scutatus (mainland tiger snake), 163 nucleotides. The record is from RefSeq and is a predicted model, not a curated record. Lineage: Eukaryota; Metazoa; Chordata; Lepidosauria; Squamata; Elapidae.
AACCAUGUUACUACCUUAACAGCUGCAGGGAUUCACUUAACAACUGUGGCAAGAAAGGCCGUAAAAAGAGGGAAAACUCACCCAACAAAUGUCUUGCUCAGCAACGGAAAUGUUGGGCUCAAUUGAGAUCUUAAGUCGAGGACACCUGCAAACAUCACUGCCA